GAUGAACGCUGGCGGCAUACUUAACACAUGCAAGUCGAACGGGAAGUGGUGUUUCCAGUGGCGAACGGGUGAGUAACGCGUAAGAACCUGCCCUUGGGAGGGGAACAACAACUGGAAACGGUUGCUAAUACCCCGUAGGCUGAGGAGCAAAAGGAGAAAUCCGCCCAAGGAGGGGCUCGCGUCUGAUUAGCUAGUUGGUGAGGUAAUAGCUUACCCAGGCGAUGAUCAGUAGCUGGUCCUAGAGGAUGAUCAGCCACACUGGGACUGAGACACGGCCCAGACUCCUACGGGAGGCAGCAGUGGGGAAUUUUCCGCAAUGGGCGACAGCAUGAAGGAGCAAUGCCGCGUGGAGGUGGAAGGCCUACGGGUCGUCAACUUCUUUUCUCGGAGAAGAAACAAUGACGGUAUCUGAGGAAUAAGCAUCGGCUAACUCUGUG
Molecule: ribosomal RNA, 437 nt
Filed under: uncultured bacterium
Lineage: Bacteria
Description: partial 16S ribosomal RNA
Rfam family: Bacterial small subunit ribosomal RNA
Source: RNAcentral